AUGAUACUUCAGUGUGAAGACAUUGACUCAACCCCAUGAAACAGCUUCUUUAAAGAAAGGUGAUCACAGCUUAGGAGGGUUGUCCUGGAACGGAGACUUAAAUGCAUGCCAAGGGAGCGUGAGCAAGGAGGGCGAGCAGGCUACCAAGGACGGGUGCAGUUGAAGAGGGUGCAGUGAAAGAGCGUAGUAGAUCAACUCAGUGAACCAGCCAAGAUUGAAAAGAUACACAGGAAGUCAUCAUCAGAGUUUCUACUUGAGAAGGAAGGAAAUGGACCGAGGAGAAAUAUGGGGUAAUUUUAACUUUAUUUGUAACAUU
Molecule: long non-coding RNA, 316 nt
Filed under: Piliocolobus tephrosceles (Ugandan red Colobus)
Lineage: Eukaryota; Metazoa; Chordata; Mammalia; Primates; Cercopithecidae
Description: lncRNA (ENSPTEG00000010485.1)
Source: RNAcentral